AGUGAACGCUGGCGGUAGGCCUAACACAUGCAAGUCGAACGGCAGCACAGUAAGAGCUUGCUCUUACGGGUGGCGAGUGGAGGACGGGUGAGGAAUACAUCGGAAUCUACUUUUUCGUGGGGGAUAACGUAGGGAAACUUACGCUAAUACCGCAUACGACCUACGGGUGAAAGCAGGGGAUCUUCGGACCUUGCGCGAUUGAAUGAGCCGAUGUCGGAUUAGCUAGUUGGCGGGGUAACGGCCCACCAAGGCGACGAUCCGUAGCUGGUCUGAGAGGAUGAUCAGCCACACUGGAACUGAGACACGGUCCAGACUCCUACGGGAGGCAGCAGUGGGGAAUAUUGGACAAUGGGCGCAAGCCUGAUCCAGCCAUACCGCGUGGGUGAAGAAGGCCUUCGGGUUGUAAAGCCCUUUUGUUGGGAAAGAAAAGCAGCAGGUUAAUACCCCGCUGUUCUGACGGUACCCAAAGAAUAAGCACCGGCUAACUUCGUG
RNAcentral lists this ribosomal RNA (492 nucleotides) under uncultured bacterium. RNAcentral describes it as "partial 16S ribosomal RNA". It matches the Rfam family "Bacterial small subunit ribosomal RNA", at positions 29 to 507 of the family's 1533-position model. The record is from RNAcentral.